AUGAGGGCCCAGCUCGCUCUAGCCCUUCUGCUCUUCCUCGUUGUUGCCUCUGCCAGCCCCCUAGCAUCGGCCCAUGGUGAUCUUGACUAUGGCGGUGGAGUGAAGAAAUCUGAAGCUACCGGCGGAUACACCGCCGGUAUUGAGAAGAAACCCGAAGCUGUCUCGGCCAGUGCUGAGAAUAAACCCGAAGCCAUCUCCGCUGGUGUGGAGAAGAAACCAGAUGCCGUCUCCGGAACAGACGUCUCCUCCAGCGCGGAGACGAAACCCGAAGUCGUCGCUGGCUAUGAUGGUGGUAAGAAGAAACCUGACGUCGCCCCCAACAAUGUUGACGCAGAGAAGAAACCAGUAAGUGCCUCUGGCUAUACUGGCAAGGAGAAGAAACCCGAAGGUGGCACCAAGGCUGCUGAGGAGAAGAAAUCUAAAGUUGCCUCCGAGAAGAAAUCCAAAAGAAAGAGUGAGCCCUCCCAGCCUUCCACCAUCGAGAAGAAACCCAAAAGUAAAAAUGAGAAGAAGUCCAAAGGAAAGAAUGACGCCUCUGGAUACACUGGUGCGGAGAAGAAACCAAAAGAAAAAGUAGAUACACCCAAGAAGGAGAAGCCAAAGAAGGAACCGAAGAAGGAGGAGCCGAAGAAGGAGGAGACCGCGGCGACCGUCACAUCCGAUAGUUACACUGCACCGAAGAAUGCUCAGCCGGAGACGCCGGCAGCUAGCACUGCUGACGCUUAUGCUGCGCCAAAGACUGCUCAGCCGGAGAUGGCGGCGACUAGCACAACCGGCGGUUACGCCUAG
This 789-nucleotide ribosomal RNA is filed under the name Triticum aestivum (bread wheat). RNAcentral's name for it is "partial small subunit ribosomal RNA". The record is from RNAcentral. Lineage: Eukaryota; Viridiplantae; Streptophyta; Magnoliopsida; Poales; Poaceae.